Molecule: long non-coding RNA, 1682 nt
Organism: Gallus gallus (chicken)
Lineage: Eukaryota; Metazoa; Chordata; Aves; Galliformes; Phasianidae
Source: Ensembl
UGCCAUAUGCUUCUCAUAACGCACACACAAAAGAAUUACAAAAAGGACUACGCACUCCUCAUACUCCUCAUCUUGAUCUUGUGUUCAGCUUGUAAAGUUCACUUCAAUCUGUUUGAGCAUAGGACAAACCAAAAGCCAUGUGUCCCAUCUCCACUGAAUUGAUGUGUAAGAGGUCAGAAAGAGCAACAGCUUUUUGAAGAUUGAUUAAUAAAGAACAUGAUGAUGAGCCUAAGUUCAUAUUCUCCCAAAGAAGUUGGCAGCCUGUGUCCUGGACAAGUACACUCUUUGCUGGGUCAAGAACUGGCUGGAUGGCUGGUGAGUGGAAGCACUGAAAAGGAAGAGAGAUGAAUGCUGACUGGAUUUCAGGAUUGGCUGCAAAAGCUGUACUGUAGAAGACCUCACUCACUUUUAAGAUUUUCCAGCACCAGAUCUUCCUUGGCUAUUUGGACUUAUUUUGCAGUCAUGUUAGCCAUCAUCCAUGUUGUUUGUUUCUUUCUGUUUAGCAUGAUUUCACUAAUAGUCAAAAUUUGCUAGCCCAGAUAGUGUCCCUGAUGCUUUUGCCUGAAACAUCUCUGUGGAAUGUCACUGAAAAAAAGGAAAUAGAAGAAAAAAAAAAAAAAAGUGAUUCAGAACAUAAUUUGUCUGACAAAAGCAAUGAAGCAAUAACCAUUCAACUCCAUGCAUGGAAAGGUUUUUGCUGUGGGACAUGGAGUCUACUGGGCUGUUCUUUGUGAGAAGAGUCUAGAAGCUGCCCAUUAUAGAUACAAGCCAGUUCCAUCUGCUGCUGUCCAAAGCAGAGCCAGUGAGAGAUGCUGAUUUUGCCUCUGUAAGAGCAUAUCUAAGAAAGGAGAAAAAAUCUGCUGUGCAGCAGCAGCUGGGAGAAAUGAGUGAGAAAAUGUAGAGUGAAACAAUUCUGCAGAUGCAAAGAUCAGUGCAGAAGGAGGGGGAGGAGGUGCUCCAGAUACAGAAGCAGAAGUACCCUGCAGCCUGUGUGACACCUAUAGCAGGCUGUCUCCCUGCAGCCCGUGGGCACCACAUGAAACAGAUCUCCACACUGAGUCCCAUGGAGGAGCCCACAGGGGUGCAGGUGAAUGCAACCCACUGAAGGCCCAUAGAGGAGAAGAUUCUGUGACAAACCUGCAGCUUUUGGAGAGGAGUCCAUGGUGGAGCAAGAGGUCUGAGAGAGCUAUCACCCAUGGGGGACCCAUGCUGGAACUCACUGUUCUUGAAGGAUGGCCUCCAUGCUACAGUCCCAUCAAGGAGCAGUUACUGAAGAAAUACAGCCUGUGGUAAGCUGAUGUUGGAUUAGUUUAGGAGAGAUGGCAUCCCAUGGGAGAUAAUGUAUGCUGGAGCAGAGGAAGAGAGUGAAGAUGAAGGAGCAGCAAAAAUGAAGCAUUACAGACUGACCAUAGCCCAUUCUCCCUGCUUCCUUGUUCUGCAGUGGGAGAGGAGUAAGAAGAAGGUGUUUUUAUUUUGCUUUAAUUUCUCACUGUUCUAGUUUCCUAUUAAUAGCAAAUAAAUUAUAUUAAUCUCCUUACACUGAGUCAUUUUGCUCACGACAAUAAUUGUUAAGUAAGUGGUCUUCCUAUCCUUAUCUAACCCUUGAGCUCUUGUCCGUUGUAUUUUCUUCCCUUCUUCCUUUGGAAUAAAUAAAUAACUAAAUAAAUGAAAAGAUAGCUUUG